This 740-nucleotide ribosomal RNA is filed under the name Diaspididae sp. CASENT0496651-D11. RNAcentral's name for it is "bacterial SSU rRNA". It matches the Rfam family "Eukaryotic small subunit ribosomal RNA", at positions 446 to 906 of the family's 1831-position model. The record is from RNAcentral. Lineage: Eukaryota; Metazoa; Arthropoda; Insecta; Hemiptera; Diaspididae.
CACUCCCAGCUCGGGGAGGUAGUGACGAAAAAUAACGAUACGGGACUCAUCCGAGGCCUCGUAAUCGGAAUGAGUACACUUUAAAACCUUGGUCACACGAGGAUCAAUUGGAGGGCAAGUCUGGUGCCAGCAGCCGCGGUAAUUCCAGCUCCAAUAGCGUAUAUUAAAGUUGUUGCGGUUAAAAAGCUCGUAGUCGGAUCUGUGUCCACGCGACGCCGGACCACCAUGUGCAGCGUCGCGCUCUGCGCGUAUGCGGCCGGGUGUUUGUUACUGGCGUGUCAGCGGGACGUCCUGCCGGUAGGCGGACACGCGCUCUUCGGAGUGGCGCCCGUCGCUCAAAUCUGCGUGUGCGGGUCUUCGCGACUCGUACAGCGGGCCGGCACGUUUACUUUGAACAAAUUAGAGUGCUCAAAGCAGGCUUGAACGUGGCGGGGUACGCUUNGCGUGCCUNCGUUGUACAGCCCUGAAUAUGGUCGCAUGGAAUAAUGGAACAAGACCUCGGUCCCGCCUCUACGCUGUCCUGCAGCGCGUGAACGUAGCCCUCGCGGCCGUUCCGUGCGCGGGUCGCCGAUCGAGGUCCUGCAUUCGCGUCCGCGUCGCCCGGUCCACUCCUCGCGAGUGCGUCUCGGUCACCGUGCGCGGGUUACGCAUUGUCGGGGCUAGCCUCGAUUGUUGGCCGGUUUUCGGGACCGGAGGUAAUGAUCAACAGAGACAGGCGUGGGCAUUCGUACCGUGACGUU